RNAcentral lists this ribosomal RNA (255 nucleotides) under uncultured bacterium. RNAcentral's name for it is "partial 16S ribosomal RNA". It matches the Rfam family "Bacterial small subunit ribosomal RNA", at positions 524 to 776 of the family's 1533-position model. The record is from RNAcentral.
UACGAAGGGGGCUAGCGUUGUCCGGAUUUACUGGGCGUAAAGCGCACGUAGGCGGAUCUUUAAGUCAGAGGUGAAAUCCCAAGGCUCAACCUUGGAACUGCCUUUGAUACUGGGGAUCUUGAGUCCGGGAGAGGUGAGUGGAACUGCGAGUGUAGAGGUGAAAUUCGUAGAUAUUCGCAGGAACACCAGUGGCGAAGGCGGCUUACUGGUCCAUUACUGACGCUGAGGUGCGAAAAGCGUGGGGGAGCAAACAGG